UACAGAGGGGGCAAGCGUUGUUCGGAAUUACUGGGCGUAAAGGGCGCGUAGGCGGCCUGCUAAGUCGAACGUGAAAUCCCUGGGCUCAACCCAGGAACUGCGUCCGAUACUGGUUGGCUUGAAUCCGGGAGAGGGAUGUGGAAUUCCAGGUGUAGCGGUGAAAUGCGUAGAUAUCUGGAGGAACACCGGUGGCGAAGGCGGCCUGCUGGGCUGUUGCUGACGCUGAGGCGCGACAGCGUGGGGAGCAAACAGG
Molecule: ribosomal RNA, 253 nt
Filed under: uncultured bacterium
Lineage: Bacteria
Description: partial 16S ribosomal RNA
Rfam family: Bacterial small subunit ribosomal RNA
Source: RNAcentral